UACGUAGGGUGCAAGCGUUGUCCGGAAUUAUUGGGCGUAAAGAGCUCGUAGGCGGUUUGUCGCGUCGGCUGUGAAAUCCCGAGGCUCAACCUCGGGCCUGCAGUCGAUACGGGCAAACUAGAGUGUGGUAGGGGAGACUGGAAUUCCUGGUGUAGCGGUGAAAUGCGCAGAUAUCAGGAGGAACACCGGUGGCGAAGGCGGUUCUCUGGGCAUUACCUGACGCUGAGGAGCGAAAGUGUGGGGAGCGAACAGG
This 253-nucleotide ribosomal RNA is filed under the name uncultured bacterium. Its description in RNAcentral is "partial 16S ribosomal RNA". It matches the Rfam family "Bacterial small subunit ribosomal RNA", at positions 524 to 776 of the family's 1533-position model. The record is from RNAcentral.